CAUGCCCCUUAUACGCUGGGCUACACACGUGCUACAAUGGGUAGAACAGAGAGUCGCAAAGCUGUGAAGUGGAGCUAAUCUCAGAAAACUAUUCUUAGUUCGGAUUGUACUCUGCAACUCGAGUACAUGAAGUUGGAAUCGCUAGUAAUCGCGAAUCAGCAAUGUCGCGGUGAAUACGUUCUCGGGUCUUGUACACACCGCCCGUCACACCACGAGAGUUGGUUGCACCUGAAGUAGCAGGCCUAACCGUAAGGAGGGAUGCUCCGAGGGUGUGAUUAGCGAUUGGGGUGAAGUCGUAACAAGGUAUCCGUACGGGAACGUGCGGAUGGAUCACCUCCUUUCUAAGGAGUAUAAGUCUUUCUCUAUUCUAUUGGUAAUGUUCUUACAUUACUUCUGAACAUUGGAAACUAUAUAGUAGAACAAACAGGAAAAAAAUUAACUCUAACAGAUUUCUUAGAGUUAGCUGUCAAAAAAUAGGUUAAAAUAAUUAAGGGCACACAAAGGAUGCCUAGGUAGUAAGAGCCGAUGAAGGACGUGGUAAGCUGCGAUAAGCCUAG
This 557-nucleotide small RNA is filed under the name uncultured Fusobacterium sp. Its description in RNAcentral is "bacterial SSU rRNA". The stretch from base 1 to 341 matches the Rfam family "Bacterial small subunit ribosomal RNA", at positions 1194 to 1533 of the family's 1533-position model. The record is from RNAcentral. Lineage: Bacteria; Fusobacteriati; Fusobacteriota; Fusobacteriia; Fusobacteriales; Fusobacteriaceae.